GAGUAGAUCCGUUACCAUGACAACUGCUUGCCAGAGGAUAGGGACGGAUGGACCUACCAAAUGCUAUACUCGACAGUGAGCCUGCAAUUUCUUGUAGCCACUUUGUAAAAACAUCUUCAGCAGCUAGAGCCGGGGCAGCUAAAGGCUGGGUGAGGCUGCUUUCAAGUGACAUGAGUGUAUCCUCAGCAUCCUUGACAGAUGUUACCUGGCUCGGGUGAAAGACUGCCAGACAGGGUGCUUACUCCCAAACUUGGUGACUGAGGACAAAAGGGAAGUCUCACGAUACAGAAGGGUAUGUGGAGCUCCCUGGCCAGCCAGAGUACCCAAGACUCCAGAUUCAGAGGAAGACUGCCUCAAAAAAUAAGACGGAAAGCAACAGAGGAGGACACUUGGCAUUAACCUCUGGCCUCCACAUACACAUAUAUACACAGGUCCUGUGUUUCCAAAGCCCAUGGGUCCGACCCAUUGCUAGUCAGUGAAGCUGUUCUCUAUGGGGGCAGUGCAGAACCCACUCUGCAAACAGCAAAGCACAUCAUCCCAGGACACUCCCUUCUCACGAGACUUCUGGCGCGCUCUCAUGCCAUGAGUGAACACUGGCCAUACGGCUUACCAUCAUCACACGACCGAUUUCUGCCAUGCACAGUGUUUCCAUGAUCUACAACUGACCAAUCUAAGACUCGGGCAGCUGGGAGAGGAGGUGCGGUGAGCCGCUCCAAAGUCGCACUUGCUUUCUUGCACCGUGUCUGAGCAACGACUACAGAGGCCCGGGAAUCCAAUGCCACUCCUUUCUGUCUUAAAACCGAUGCCAAGUCUGAGGCUCGUCCGUGUGCCUUCCCCGCGGGGGCAGCUCUCUGUUAACAAAGCUGCCUGCUUGUAAGUGGCGAGGCAAACACAAGAGGAGCCCUUCCAGACGUGAGACAAGAAAGAAGGCAAACAGGAAGAUCGUCUGUUAACAAGCUCGCUGAUGGAUGGUUUGGAAGAACAAAGAGAGCAGAUGCCACGCCAGUCAGCCUUACCGACGGCCGCACACCUUCGAUGGCACUCCACAGUGAUGGUGUGUGGCAGUUUAGGGUGGGAUGGCUGCAAGACGUGAGGAUGAAAUGCUCUGCUUCGAAUGAUGUAGAUAGAUGUUUGCUAAGUUUGCUUUUCAGUGUACAUGCUUAUCAGGGGUAAUAGUGGGGGGGAGGAUAGAUUUCACCUCAGUUUCAUGGAGUUGACAUCUACUAAAGUUAACAGGGCAGAGCUGUAAAAUGUUCUUUUAACCUGGCACCCGAGUCUUCUUGGGAAAACAGAGUUGUCACAGACUGCCAACACUACAGGUGACAGCAUCCAUCAGUUUUCCAAAUCUGUCGUCUCUCUUGUUUGCCUCUAGACACCUGGAGGCACUGCCCCUCCCCUGAGAGGAUGGUGUCCUCUUUGCUGGCUUGCAAGCCCUUCCAGGGCCUUGUGGGGUGCCACCCAGAGUGAACAGCACCCCUGAACACUGUCUGCAGAGGCCUUGCUCUAUCUGAGUCAGAUCUCUGCACUCCAUGACACCGAGGGCUGUCCCACCGCCUGCCCCUCUCUCUUCAGGCAGGCGGAGACCCCUGUUCUCUGUACAGAGCCUGGCACGGAACAGCACUCAGAAAAUAUUUGCUGAGUGCUGGGGAAAAAAGAAGAACAAAUCACUAGAAAGGUUGGGGGGAGGAUCACUGAGGGCAAGGGAACGACACAAAUUUACACAC
This 1724-nucleotide long non-coding RNA is filed under the name Mus musculus (house mouse). RNAcentral's name for it is "RIKEN cDNA 4930544F09 gene". The record is from RNAcentral. Lineage: Eukaryota; Metazoa; Chordata; Mammalia; Rodentia; Muridae.